UAUGCCACCCUCUCCCUAAUCCAUGGUAGUCUGUCUCCGGCGUCUGUGACCUCAGCCCAGUAGAGCCCUCAGUGACUCAAGAGUGGUCCCCACAGCUGUCUGCUCUGAUUACACCUCACCCUGUAGGCACAGAUGGCAGCUCCUGUAAUAGACACCUUCCACAGGUAAUCUUCUCAUCAACAACAACAGCAAGCGCUCGGGCCCUGCAGGAUAGCUGGCUCACACCAGGGGGUUUUCCUGAGCUGAUGAAGUCAGUAGAGUAUUACACAACACAGCCCAAACAAUGCAGUCCAUUUAACCCCAAUCCAGCACUCUUGUACCUUUUUCUGUCUUUACACGGAGCUCCCAAUUCUUUACUAAUUACAGAUUUUAACAUAAAAUACAGAAUACAGAAAGGUAGUCAUGAGGCACAUGUAAUACAUUUAUUUCAACCAGAUCAGUCUUGAAUAACUUGAUCCAAAGUGGAUCAGUGGAAUUAUCAACCAUUCAUCAUGACUGGACUUGGGGAAGCAGACAGGAUAGAGGAGGGGUGAUCCAAAAAGCCUUGUCCUAUGAAAAUAAAGGAGAGACACAACACUGUCCAAAAUAUGGAACAGACUCAAAUACAGCACUUUCUGCAUUCUUAUUUUAUACAUCACCUACAAGUAGAAUUAGGCAGUUAGCAGACGUGUAGACAUGUAAAUGUGCAUCUGGUAGUGAAAUUAUUAAAUUAAACAAUUAAGGCUAUGCUGCUGUGAAGGGUCCACAGUGCAUUGUGACUGGGCUCUGUAUGGAGCUGUUAUCCAAAACCGGCAGCAUUUCAAGGCAUCAUAAUACUGUUCUCAAUGUGUCUGCAGACCGCUUUCUCUCUAGUGCUUUUGGUCUCUCUCUUUGAUCCCACCUCCAUUCGUCUCUCCCCCCCUCUGCCUGCUUGUUAGUGGGGCUGCAGUGUGUUUUUCAGUGUCUCGGAGUUGGAAGAAAACCUAAGUUCUUUUCCAGACCUCCGCUGUUGACCAAUCAGGCCCCGCAGUACCCCCGGCUGGGUCGUGAUAUGUUUAGUUACGGCUCAGCCAGGAGUCGUGUUGGACACCUGCUUUAUAUAUCAGGGAGGCGGGGAAAGCGCCGAUUUUGAUCUGGGAGGCUGAGCAUGCCAGGCUGUCCUGGCUCUGCUUGCAGUGGCUGGGCACCGGUAAUGUCAGCAGGUGUUACUUUUUUUUUUCCCUCCAUUUCCAGGCAGUGGUGGUAUUGAAUAAAAAGGAUUUUGCAGAUGGGGAGACAACAAAGCGGCACAAUAAAAACUGAGGGGGCGCCCCGAGACCCCACCUGGCAUGUUUGUGUUCCCCUGUGGGAUGUUCCCCAGGCACGGUGUGUGGGGAGCAAGCCAGCACAACACCGACUUAGGGGCAACCAGCCUGGAAAAACAGCCCCCCACUUUCAUACACAUGAUUUCCGAGCUGCGUUCCCCCCCCUGGCCUUUAGUUCUGUAUUGUUCCGCCUUUCGGAUUUCAGCACUGGUCUGUUUUCUUGACCGUGAGCGGGAGCCUGGAAGUCGCAUUACUCAACGUGAGGCGCCUGGCUGGGGGAGCUGAGCACGUGUGCAGGUUUGAAAUGUGCCGUUGAAGCUUCUUUCUGUCGGCGGUGCUGAUAACGAACGCUCCUUGGCUGCCCCCGGUUCUUGCCACACCUAUCCAAACGGCACCUUGACCAAAGUGACUCUGAAGCUCCAGGAAAAGUGAAACCGAGCCUCAGUGUCUCCUCAGUUUUGUUUCGACUGAGCCCAGUUAGCUGCUUAGUUCGUACACGUCACACAAAUACGCCUCAUCAUUUUGAUUCAUAGUAGGCAAUGCCACACCCACACCCCUUUCCUAGAGACCCCCACCUCACCACCCAAAUAAACCAUUUCUUCCAGCUUCUCCAGUUAAAAGAAAUGUAUCGACAUGCCUGUCAAUACAGGUCAGAAACUGAUGUCUGAGGAGGAAAGAGAGUAGUUAAUAGUUGCCUUACCUUUGAUCCUCACCAGAGCAAGUGGACGGACAAUGGAUUGCACACUGUUUAUAUCAAAAAUUAAAGAGAAGAGUAGGGUAGUGGCAAAUUCUAAAAAUCAAGCAGGGAAAGUAUUAUUUAUUGGAUGGAGACUUGUCAAGGAAUGAUUGUAGCAGUAUUUCAGGGAUGUCAGAAAAAACUUAGGAUUUCUUCUGGAGUUGAUGAAAUGCCGGAGUUUGGGGCUCCUAGAAACCGUUAUUUUAACAGGUAGGGGUCUUGUGAUGUAAAAUCAUAUAGGUUUUAAUAAGGCAAAGAAGUUGCACUAUUUAGAAUAGGAUCAGCUGCAAGUCAGUGAAUUUAGGGACAGAAGAACAGUUACAAACAGAGGUAGUAAUUGAAUUUAUCACACAAUCAAUGUUGUUGAUUUUAUACUGGUAUAUAAUUCUUGUUAUUAUUUCGGUUACUCAUUAUUCAAAUUACAGCAUUCUCUAAAGGAAAGAACAUGCACAUCAACCUCCAUGCUUGUAAAACAUUUCUGCAUUAAGUGUUAACCCUUUCUCUCUGGCAGGGUGCAGACUCAGGUGGAUGAGGUGAUCGAUGUCAUGCAGGAGAACAUCACUAAGGUGAUCGAGAGAGGAGAGCGACUGGAUGAGCUGCAGGA
Molecule: non-coding RNA, 2623 nt
Organism: Lepisosteus oculatus (spotted gar)
Lineage: Eukaryota; Metazoa; Chordata; Actinopteri; Semionotiformes; Lepisosteidae
Source: RefSeq, a predicted model, not a curated record